GGCAACCCAAUUGUUUAAAAAAAAAAAAGUUUUGAAAGUUGGGAAGGAACACACGUUACACCCCCAACCCAUAAACCAUUUAAAAAAACCCUGGCUCGGCAACGGUGGUCGAUCUCAGUCUUUCAGUCAAAAAUUGAAAUCUAGCUCUCUUAGUUCUCUCUAUCUCCUUGAAUCUCUGUCUCCUUUCUUGCUCCUUGGCUUUGGGUCCUUAAAAAGAUGACGUCGAGACUCGAGAACCCAGUUGGCAAUCGUAGUCAUGGAAUCGUGAGGACUAAGGAGAUUGGUGAUGCAAAGAUAGCCGAAGUUGACUUGAUAGCCGAACGAUUUCUUGCAAUGCAAAGAUAUCCAGUAGGCACUCGGCAGUCGCAAUCAUGGAACCCAAUCGGCAGUUGCACAAUUUCUUUCCUCUCGUAUUGAAUUGGGGAGUUGUUGGUAAUAUGGUCGGCAGAUUACUGUAUGGCCUUCUCAUUUCCCGUGGCCAACAGAUUUGUUGAUUGAUUUGCUCAGAUUUUGGAAAUUGUUUAUUUGCUCAUUCUCGUCGGCCACUCCGGUAAUACUGUAUUUUUUAAUACUCACCAAGGGAGAAAGUGGGAUUCUCUUGCAUCCCUCCUUAUCAUUAAUGUAUGAAUUUGUUUUUUUGCGAUGCUUGUCAAGGGAGAAAGUGUGAUCCAAUGGCUCCCCCCUUUUAAUUACUUCGUAUUGAUUAAUCCACUUAAUGGUUAGUUUUUUUGUAUACUCUCUAUGAGAGAUAGUGGAAUUCCCUUGCAUCCCUCCUUGACAUUAAAUGUGUGAAUUUGUUGUGUUGUGAUGCCUGCCAAGGGAGAAAGAGUGAUGCAAUGGCUCCCCGCUUUUAACGAGAGUGGAGUACUGAGAUUUGAUAAGGUGGAUGAGGGAGUAUUAGGCCGGAUGGAAUGGGCGUGGUGUGCAGGGUGGGGCCCCCUGUUGGAUGCCGACAUCUCUGGUUCGAGCCUCUUAUUGGUGCCUUGUUCCUCUGUAAUAGCUGUUCAGCUUCCAUUGAUGCCGUAUUGCUAUGUUGUUGCUA
Molecule: long non-coding RNA, 1042 nt
Organism: Rhododendron vialii
Lineage: Eukaryota; Viridiplantae; Streptophyta; Magnoliopsida; Ericales; Ericaceae
Exons: 3
Source: RefSeq, a predicted model, not a curated record